UUAGUGAAUACCUCGCACCGCAAGUAUUGAAUAACUGCCUGCUUUCUAGUCGAAUUGUUUUAAUUGUCAUAAUUAUCACCCUACAGAAGUCAUGCUUGCUCUUGCUCUUGCUCUUGCUCUUUCUAACUUGAUAUCGCUUUUUUAUUUUUCUGAUUGUUUCAGCAAAAGAAGGCGAUCGAGGUGGCAUGAAGAUGGCAUCCGGUUUGCAAAUUUGUCUCCAAAAUCGACAUCAAUGGAGUUAUUAUACUCACA
Long non-coding RNA from Salvia splendens (bonfire salvia), 252 nucleotides. RefSeq lists it as uncharacterized. The transcript is spliced from 2 exons. Lineage: Eukaryota; Viridiplantae; Streptophyta; Magnoliopsida; Lamiales; Lamiaceae. The record is from RefSeq and is a predicted model, not a curated record.